CCUACGGGAGACAGCAGUAGGGAAUCUUUCACAAUGGGCGAAAGCCUGAUGGAGCAACGCCGCGUGCAGGAUGAAGGCCUUCGGGUUGUAAACUGCUUUUAUAAGCGAGAAAUAUGAUGGUAACUUAUGAAUAAGGAUCGGCUAACUACGUGCCAGCAGCCGCGGUCAUACGUAGGAUCCGAGCAUUAUCCGGAGUGACUGGGUGUAAAGAGUUGCGUAGGUGGCAUAAUAAGUAGCUAGUGAAAUCUGGUGGCUCAACCAUUCAGACUAUUAGCUAAACUGUUAAGCUCGAGACCGUUAGGGGUAACUGGAAUGUGUAGUGUAGGAGUGAAAUCCGUAGAUAUUAGAAGGAACACCAAUAGCGUAGGCAGGUUGCUGGGACGGUUCUGACACUAAGGCACGAAAGCGUAGGGAGCAAACGGGAUUAGAUACCCCUGUAGUC
RNAcentral lists this ribosomal RNA (442 nucleotides) under uncultured bacterium. Its description in RNAcentral is "partial 16S ribosomal RNA". It matches the Rfam family "Bacterial small subunit ribosomal RNA", at positions 338 to 795 of the family's 1533-position model. The record is from RNAcentral.